Molecule: ribosomal RNA, 486 nt
Filed under: uncultured bacterium
Lineage: Bacteria
Description: partial 16S ribosomal RNA
Rfam family: Bacterial small subunit ribosomal RNA
Source: RNAcentral
GAUGAACGCUGGCGGCGUGCCUAAUACAUGCAAGUCGAACGCUGGAACUCUAGCUUGCUCGCUUGAAGGAGUGGCGAACGGGUGAGUAAUACAUAAGCAACCUACCCACGAAGACUGGGAUAAUCUCUGGAAACGGGGACUAAUACCGGAUAGGUAAUCGGAAGGCAUCUUCUGAUUAUUAAAGGUUAAAAACACUGGUGGAUGGGCUUAUGGCGCAUUAGUUAGUUGGUGAGGUAACGGCCCACCAAGACGAUGAUGCGUAGCCGGCCUGAGAGGGUGAACGGCCACAUUGGGACUGAGACACGGCCCAGACUCCUACGGGAGGCAGCAGUAGGGAAGUGUCGGCAAUGGGGGAAACCCUGACCGAGCAACGCCGCGUGAGUGAGGACGGCCUUCGGGGUGUAAAGCUCUGUUGUAAGGGAAGAACGGUAGAUAGAGAAUAUCUAAAUGACGGUACCUGACCAGAAAGCCACGGCUAACUACGUG